AAUUCUCAACCCCGAUCGAUUUGUUUCGACUUCGGGGCUUGGAUCUGGAGCGUGCUGGCGUCGGUCGGCUCCUCUUAAAUGCAUCAGCGGAAUCUAACGUUUCGGACGUCAGUGUGAUAAUCAUGUUGCGCUGUCUGUCUGAUCCGAAAGCCCGCUCACAAUGGUCUUCGGACAACUUUAUCAA
RNAcentral lists this unclassified non-coding RNA (184 nucleotides) under Piloderma olivaceum. RNAcentral describes it as "partial internal transcribed spacer 2". Lineage: Eukaryota; Fungi; Basidiomycota; Agaricomycetes; Atheliales; Atheliaceae. The record is from RNAcentral.